RNAcentral lists this ribosomal RNA (253 nucleotides) under uncultured bacterium. RNAcentral describes it as "partial 16S ribosomal RNA". It matches the Rfam family "Bacterial small subunit ribosomal RNA", at positions 524 to 776 of the family's 1533-position model. The record is from RNAcentral.
UACGAAGGGGGCUAGCGUUGCUCGGAAUCACUGGGCGUAAAGGGCGCGUAGGCGGCCAUUCAAGUCAGAGGUGAAAGCCCAAGGCUCAACCUUGGAAUUGCCUUUGAUACUGUUUGGCUUGAGACCGGAAGAGGUAAGUGGAACUGCGAGUGUAGAGGUGAAAUUCGUAGAUAUUCGCAAGAACACCAGUGGCGAAGGCGGCUUACUGGUCCGGUUCUGACGCUGAGGCGCGAAAGCGUGGGGAGCAAACAGG